This is a long non-coding RNA of Raphanus sativus (radish), 1383 nucleotides long. RefSeq lists it as uncharacterized. NCBI's taxonomy places the organism in Eukaryota, Viridiplantae, Streptophyta, Magnoliopsida, Brassicales, Brassicaceae. The transcript is spliced from 3 exons. The record is from RefSeq and is a predicted model, not a curated record.
UAAAAAAAUAGAAAGUUAAAACUUUUGUGUCUCUCUAGAAGGAAAUGUCGACAGAAGAAAAAAAAGAAACUCGCGACUUCUUCUCCGACGCUUCCAUCUCCGAUCUCCGACAGCUCCUUUUGCAUCACCAUCUUCGAAGAUCACGGACGUUUUCAAUUCCGAAUACCCCAGCCUCAUCUCGUCUUCCUGUUUGUUGUCGUGGACGAACCCUAACUCCACACCAACGUUUAAGUCACCACCACCUUCGAUUCCCAGAAACUUGAACUUGAUAGCAUCAUCUUCUGCCAUCAGAAAACAAAGCAUUAGAAGCUACUAUAGACGCUAAGAUGGAUUCUAGAAUUGGUGUACAUGAUUCUGACUUACGGCAGAAGAUUGCUAGACUACAGGAAGAAAUAAAUCUUCUUAGAAACAAAGGCUGAUGUGAACAUUGCUCCUGAUGUGGCCAAACUCCAAAGCAAAUGAGGAUAGUGGUUCUUGUAGCAAUAACUUAUCAUGGAUGGUUCAGAAAUCAAUUCACAAGAUGGAUUGCCAAUACAAUGUGUUGUUAAGAAGAGAAAAAAAAAAGCUAAGAAGAUGAUGGAGAAGGAGGAUCUUGGGUGUAAUUUUGAUGUUUUGAAUGAUCAGAUUAUAUCACCAUUUCGACUGAAGUUGGCGGUUGAUAUUUAUGAGGUGGUGACUUGAUAUGCUCUAUAUUUUAACCUAUUUAAUCUAUAAGUUUCAUAUGUUUUCAAAUGUUUUAUAUGCAUUUCGUAGCUCUUUUAGAGAUAUUUCAGGUUUAGGUACUCUUUGGAAUAAAGUGAUGAUUAUGGAGUAUUUUGAGACAUUUUUGGGAGAUAUUAUAUCUCACUCGCGGAGCUGACUACUGAAGAGAUCAUCGACCGACGUAUCAAAAUUAACAUCGACCGAUAGAGAAUCACACGCGUCGAUCGAUUGAGCAAUAGCCAUAUCGAUCGAUACAGAGCCAUUCACGAUUAAUGAAGAUAUGAAGAUUUACGAGUUUUACCCAAAAGAUAUCAUAAUUGCAUUAUACAUCUUGGCCGCCUGUUAAGCCAUACUAUUAGGGUUUUUUACCAUUUAAGUAAGGAGACACUAAGAAGAGAAAAAUCAAGCAAUUAAGGAGGCUAAAAGCAAGUCACCAAAGUCAUCAACAAAGAGAGAAGUAAUAGCUUAGAGAGUCAGUUGGAGAAGAAGAUAUCUACCUUGGAGAGAGAGAUCUAAGCUGCAUAAACAAAGAAGAUCUUGAACUCCUUUUGUUUUCUUACUCUAUUACUAUUUUCAUUAAGUUUUAUUUAAGUAUUAUUCAGACCAUCAUGAUCAUGCUUCUUAUGAAUAUGUCUGAGUAGUUCUACCGUUAGAUUUAGGUUUACCAAAUGUUGAUUUAUG